CACGGGGGGAGCAAGCGUUGUUCGGAAUUACUGGGCGUAAAGGGCGUGUAGGCGGUCAAGUAAGUGGAAUGUGAAACGCCUCGGCUUACCCGAGGACCUGCAUCCCAAACUGCUUGGCUUGAGUAUGGGAGAGGAUGAGGGAAUUCCUGGUGUAGCGGUGAAAUGCGUAGAUAUCAGGAGGAACACCAGUGGCGAAGGCGGCAUCCUGGACCGGUAUUGACGCUGAGGCGCGAAAGCUAGGGUAGCAAACGGG
Molecule: ribosomal RNA, 253 nt
Filed under: uncultured bacterium
Lineage: Bacteria
Description: partial 16S ribosomal RNA
Rfam family: Bacterial small subunit ribosomal RNA
Source: RNAcentral